This 460-nucleotide ribosomal RNA is filed under the name uncultured bacterium. RNAcentral describes it as "partial 16S ribosomal RNA". It matches the Rfam family "Bacterial small subunit ribosomal RNA", at positions 338 to 795 of the family's 1533-position model. The record is from RNAcentral.
CCUACGGGAGGCAGCAGUGAGGAAUAUUGGUCAAUGGACGAGAGUCUGAACCAGCCAAGUAGCGUGAAGGAUGACUGCCCUAUGGGUUGUAAACUUCUUUUAUAUGGGAAUAAAACGUUCCAUGUGUGGGAUUUUGUAUGUACCAUAUGACUAAGGAUCGGCUAACUCCGUGCCAGCAGCCGCGGUAAUACGGAGGGUCCGAGCGUUAUCCGGAUUUAUUGGGUUUAAAGGGAGCGUAGGUGGAUUGUUAAGUCAGUUGUGAAAGUUUGCGGCUCAACCGUAAAAUUGCAGUUGAAACUGGCAGUCUUGAGUACAGUAGAGGUGGGCGGAAUUCGUGGUGUAGCGGUGAAAUGCUUAGAUAUCACGAAGAACUCCGGUUGCGAAGGCAGUUCACUGGACUGCAACUGACACUGAGGCUCGAAAGUGUGGGUAUCAAACAGGAUUAGAUACCCGGGUAGUC